Molecule: ribosomal RNA, 208 nt
Filed under: uncultured bacterium
Lineage: Bacteria
Description: partial 16S ribosomal RNA
Rfam family: Bacterial small subunit ribosomal RNA
Source: RNAcentral
UGCGUAGGUGGUUUGUUAAGUUGGAUGUGAAAGCCCCGGGCUCAACCUGGGAACUGCAUCCAAACUGGCAAGCUAGAGUACGGUAGAGGGUGGUGGAAUUUCCUGUGUAGCGGUGAAAUGCGUAGAUAUAGGAAGGAACACCAGUGGCGAAGGCGACCACCUGGACUGAUACUGACACUGAGGUGCGAAAGCGUGGGGAAGCAAACAG